Molecule: ribosomal RNA, 403 nt
Filed under: uncultured bacterium
Lineage: Bacteria
Description: bacterial SSU rRNA
Rfam family: Bacterial small subunit ribosomal RNA
Source: RNAcentral
UGGGGAAUAUUGGACAAUGGGCGCAAGCCCGAUCCAGCCAUGCCGCGUGAGUGAUGAAGGCCCUAGGGUUGUAAAGCUCUUUCACCGGUGAAGAUAAUGACGGUAACCGGAGAAGAAGCCCCGGCUAACUUCGUGCCAGCAGCUGCGGUAAUACGAAGGGGGCUAGCGUUGUUCGGAUUUACUGGGCGUAAAGCGCACGUAGGCGGACUUUUAAGUCAGGGGUGAAAUCCCGGGGCUCAACCCCGGAACUGCCUUUGAUACUGGAAGUCUUGAGUAUGGUAGAGGUGAGUGGAAUUCCGAGUGUAGAGGUGAAAUUCGUAGAUAUUCGGAGGAACACCAGUGGCGAAGGCGGCUCACUGGACCAUUACUGACGCUGAGGUGCGAAAGCGUGGGGAGCAAACAG